This 505-nucleotide ribosomal RNA is filed under the name uncultured bacterium. RNAcentral's name for it is "partial 16S ribosomal RNA". It matches the Rfam family "Bacterial small subunit ribosomal RNA", at positions 28 to 507 of the family's 1533-position model. The record is from RNAcentral.
GACGAACGCUGGCGGCGUGCCUAAUACAUGCAAGUAGAACGCACAGUUUAUACUGUAGCUUGCUACACCAUAAACUGUGAGUUGCGAACGGGUGAGUAACGCGUAGGUAACCUGCCUGGUAGCGGGGGAUAACUACUGGAAACGAUAGCUAAUACCGCAUAAUAUUGAUUAUUGCAUGAUAAUUGAUUGAAAGAUGCUAUUGCAUCACUACCAGAUGGACCUGCGUUGUAUUAGCUAGUAGGUGAGGUAACGGCUCACCUAGGCGACGAUACAUAGCCGACCUGAGAGGGUGAUCGGCCACACUGGGACUGAGACACGGCCCAGACUCCUACGGGAGGCAGCAGUAGGGAAUCUUCGGCAAUGGACGAAAGUCUGACCGAGCAACGCCGCGUGAGUGAAGAAGGUUUUCGGAUCGUAAAGCUCUGUUGUAAGAGAAGAACGGGUGUGAGAGUGGAAAGUUCACACUGUGACGGUAUCUUACCAGAAAGGGACGGCUAACUACGUG